UACGUAGGUCCCGAGCGUUGUCCGGAUUUAUUGGGCGUAAAGCGAGCGCAGGUGGUUUAUUAAGUCUGGUGUAAAAGGCAGUGGCUCAACCAUUGUAUGCAUUGGAAACUGGUAGACUUGAGUGCAGGAGAGGAGAGUGGAAUUCCAUGUGUAGCGGUGAAAUGCGUAGAUAUAUGGAGGAACACCGGUGGCGAAAGCGGCUCUCUGGCCCGUAACUGACGUUGAGGCUCGAAAGCGUGGGGAGCAAACAGG
RNAcentral lists this ribosomal RNA (252 nucleotides) under uncultured bacterium. RNAcentral describes it as "partial 16S ribosomal RNA". It matches the Rfam family "Bacterial small subunit ribosomal RNA", at positions 524 to 776 of the family's 1533-position model. The record is from RNAcentral.